Molecule: ribosomal RNA, 253 nt
Filed under: uncultured bacterium
Lineage: Bacteria
Description: partial 16S ribosomal RNA
Rfam family: Bacterial small subunit ribosomal RNA
Source: RNAcentral
AACGUAGGUUCCGAGCGUUAUCCGGAUUUACUGGGCGUAAAGCGCGUUCAGGCGGUUUGGCAAGUCGGGCAUGAAAUCUCUCGGCUCAACCGGGAGAGGUUGUCCGAUACUGCUGGACUUGAGGGCAGUAGAGGGUGGUGGAAUUCCGGGUGUAGUGGUGAAAUGCGUAGAUAUCCGGAGGAACACCAGUGGCGAAAGCGGCCACCUGGACUGCAACUGACGCUGACACGCGAAAGCUAGGGGAGCGAACGGG